AUUUUAGUAGUUUUCCAUGAUGUUUCUAGAUGCGGAUUUCUUUUUAUUUAUCCUACUCAGGAUUCAUGGGUCUUUUUGUAUCUGUAAAGUGAUAUCUUUAGUCAGUUCUGGGAAGUUCUCAUUCAUUUUCUCUUUGAUGGUUACCUCUGCCAUAUUCUCUACUUUCUUUCUGGUACUCCAGUUAAACAUAUUUUAGAUUUUCUCAUUGUACUCCCUGUCUCUUACCCUUUCUUGUGUAUUUCCCAUCCUUUUUGUUGCCCCAUAUUUGAUACUAGGUAUUUUUACUAAUUAUCUCUUCAAUUGUGUCUAAUAAUAUGUUGUUAAACCCACCCACUGAGUUCUUAUUUUCAAUUGUUUUAUUUUUAUAGUUCUAGCAUUUUAUUGGGUUCUUUUUCAGAUGGGUUUUGGGGAAGGCUGUCUAUAUUCAGGGCCUGAGGGGACCUCUUUCAAGUGCCCUGGUUUGAUCCCCCCUCCGCAGGGUGGGGUGGUGUUCAGAACAAGGUUGACUACUCACUUUCAAGGACAGCACCAGGCCUGGGAGGAAAGAUCCACCAGAGGUACGCCGGGGGCAUGGAGGAGUCAGUCCCUGCUACCUGAUGUUGGCCAAAGCUCCCAGGGGACAAAGUAGCCAGAGAUUGCCAGCUCAUUCUGGAAGGGCUCUUUCUUCUCUGGAAUUGUUUACACUGCUGUCCAAAGACUUUAAAGUAUGAAUUUUGUGGGGCCGGAAGGAGGUGAAUUCUUUUUAUUUUUCUCUAGUUUUUGCAGCAGGAGUGUCAGUCUGUGCAGACUUAUAAAUUCUACAAAAAAAAAAUUAUAAAAGAGAGAAAGAAAGAGAGGAAGAAAGAGAGAGAGAAAGAAAAAAAAGAAAAAGCCCUGUUGUGUUUUCUUGGUGUUUCCUUUUUAUCCCCCAUCCUGAGUUUUGCUGGAAUGAACAACACUACUUUGUUUUCUUGUGAUUUGGAAGUUUUAUGUUCUAUUUCUGGUUUCAUGGUUUCUUUAUCAGUUUUAACAAAUAUUUUUAUUUAAAUGUCAAUAAUUAUAUAACUCCCCAUCCCCUAGCAAGACAAAGACUUUAUAUUGCUUUAUUUCCUCAUCUCCCUUCUCUGGCUCCUCAGCCUUUAUAGAUGGUCAUAGCUCCUUAACUGGUAUUCUGCGCUUGGGUCUGUCUCUUCUGAUGGACUCUCUACCUUUCCAUCUUUUUGAAGUGAUCAACCCUCCCCAACAGAAAACCCUUCAGUAGCUUCCCAUAACCCUUCCAAUAAUGUCCAGACUCAACAUAGCACAUAAGGUGCCCUCUGAAUCCUGCCACCUUUUCUGGCUUCUUCUAAAAAAUCCCCACUCCCUAAAGAAAAGAAAUAUACUAAAGCACAGAAAUAUCUGGGUCAAGUCAGCACUUGAGAGGAUUAUCACACGAUGAAGUACCUCUACUCCCCCAUUUGCCUCUUGCCUCUACAGCAAGCCCCUUGAGGGCAGGGGCUGCUAACUUAUCUUGGUGCUCCCAGCACUUAGCUGGAACAUUGUAUGAUGAGUAAAUGCUUCUGGGAACAUUGAUGAGUAAAUGCUUAGCUGGAACAUUGUAUGAUGAGUAAAGGAAGGAAGGCAGGAAUGGAGGAAUGAAGGAGGCGGUGAUUUCUCUAGAUAGGCCUGGGCUUCCCAGGGCAGGAGUGGAGACAGCCCUGGGAAACAUUCUGAGAGGACACUCCUGGAGGUGCCUCAGGUGGCUGUUCAAUAAAGUAAGAAAAGGACUUAAGAGCAAGGUGGCUAUGUUAGAGACAGUUUGAUUACAAAAAGCAGAGUCCUUGUCAAGUUAAAAAAAAAAAGGCAAGGGGGCCUGGGUAUGUUAGAAAGCAUCAGUCUGUCAUGGAAGCCACAGUCAGUGUCUCUGUCUGUUCAGGCUGCUAUAACAGGAUACGAGACUGGGUGGCUUAUAAAUGACAGAAAUACAUUUCUCUCAGUUGUGGAGGCAGGGAAGUCCAAGAUCAAGGUGCCAGCAGAUUCAGUGUCUGGUAAGGACCUGCUUUCUGGUUGACACUGUGGAAGGGGUGAGGGAACUCUCUUAGGCCUGUUUUAUAAGGUCACUAAUCCCAUUUAUGAGGUCUCUGCCCUCAUGACCUAAUCACCUCCCAAACGCCUCACCUCCUAAUAACAUCACAUUGGGGGUUGUGUUUCAACAUCUGAAUUCUGGGGGGGACACAAACAUUCAGACCAUAGCAGUCAGGAAGAUAGCCAGGCCACUUGAGAGACCACGAGGCCAGUCCUUUCCUCUUUGGGACUGUGUGGCAUUCGUCAUAGCUUCUCUUUGUGAACUGCUUCCUUUCUCUUUCUCUGCUUUCUUGUGCAUGUCCUGGAAAAUGGAUGCCCUGGUCCUGCCUUUCUGGUCUGAGCCCUCUAAAGCUGCCUGGAGCCCCUCUGUCCCAAUUACAGCUCUAGGGCCUGAGGCUCUGGGUCAGGGGCCUCUGCCACAGCCUGAGAAGGUCACGUGACUUACUGCCUAAGAGUGGCAGCAGCAGAGGUGUGGGUGGCGCAGACUGAUUGACGGCCACAAAGUGAUGUUUUCUCAGUCUCUCUUUUUCAUCAAUCCUGAAAAGCUUGUCUGUGCAGAAGAGAAAUAUCUGCCUGAUAAAGAGAAAACGACUAGUGACCUAAGUCAGACUGUUUCUGAAAGGCAGUUUUAUUCCUCGAAGCUUGGCCAGGAGUAAAAAGCAUGAAAAGAAGAGUCUGAAAUGGAAAAACAGAAGAAAGAAAUAGAAGAUCAGUUUGCUUUGCUCAAUGCAGCUCAGCCUGACCAGCCAGACUUUCCCUAAAUUGAGGAAUAUCCGAAUAAUAAGUUACUGUUUAUUGAGCUCUCCUUGUGAAUCGGGAACUGCGUGAGUGCACAAGUGGACACUAUUUCCGUAAUCAGGCUGUUCCCACGCUGAGGCUGCAUUUCUUCCCAGUCCUUCACCUCCUGAGUGGCUGUGACCCAGCGGAAGUCACGUGGUGUGAAAUGAUUACAGCGUCACCCAAACCACCCACAGUGGACACAUUCAACCAAGUGGUAACGUCUGGUGGUCUGAUGCCUCAUUUCCACAUAAUACUUUUUAUAGCCCUGAAAAUGGAAAUCCUGGCAUCUAAACACAGCCGAACAUGUUAACACUAAUACAAGGCACUGUGCUAUGGGGUUUGGUUUAUUUAUAGGGAAGGUCAUGUUUGCAUAGAUUGCUAGCGAUUUAGUGUGCGAUAAAAUAGAGGCCCCAGCAUGCGUGGCCUUGUGAUGGAUGAAGCGGCGCGACGCUCCGCCAGCUCAGGGGCAGCACUGGCUAUCUUCUCCAGCCCCAGCCUAGUGGGCAGAUCCCUAAGGCCCCUACAGGAGAGUUUUUUGCUCAAAAAGCUGCAGGUCAAAGCGCACCCAGACCUCCCCAGUGGGGACCUCAUGCAGCAGCAGUCGGCGGGUUGUAGGGCCUUUGCUUUCCUGUUCUGUUCGAAUUUUUGCCACUGGAACUUCAGUGCGACCCAGGAAAUCUGGUGAAUAGACAAGUGAGAGUCAAAAGUCUUCUUUAAAAAACUGUUAAAAAACUAUCACAGAAGGAGUGUCUGAAACAGGAUUCAUAAAACUUUCAAAUUCAAAACAAGUAACUUCUUUUGGUUAAUGGCCGUUGGAUACUGUGAAUGGAUGGAUGCAUGCAGAACAAGGGAUUUGUGUGAGGGAAACUGAAACUGCUGGGAAUCCAAGCCUCUUUGGUCAGGGAAUGGCUCACCCAUUCAGUAGGUGCCAGGAGCACAGCGUUUCCAUUAGAUGCCGCCUUGAUCUUCUGGACCCAGGCCGUCCUGGAGGAGAAGCAGAGUGCCAUCGGGCAGACUUCGCACACGGCUCACAGGUCCACCAGGAGCCCCAGAGCUCUGUGCUUGCUAACCUUGGCUUUGAGAAGUUCCCAAUCAUAGACUUCACAGUAAUUCAACUGAAGGACUUGUUUGCUAAUUGAGGAUCAAGCUGAGAAUUUCUAGAAAGUUCUUGACGGCACCAAGCACUUGUCAGGUGCUGGGCGCACAGAGAUGGAAGAUGCAAUGGCAGCUCAGCACGACAAAUGACAGGUUCUACUGCAGAGAGCUGUGCACGCAGCGGAGGAGGAGCUACACCCAGAGGACAGGACGCGUAGCUGGCCAGGCAGGGAGGGAAGAAGGCACCCAUGCAGAGGGCAGUGGGGGAGGGCAGUGGGGGAGGGCAGACAAUCCGGCGGGAGUGCAGGGAUGGGACUGAGACCCAGAGGCACGGGACAGCCUCAGAGAGCAGGCGAAGGAGCACAGACUGUCCCUGAGGGAUUGCAGUAGGAAGUGAGGUGUUGGCUCUCCCACUUCGGAAGAUCCCGAGGAGAGGCUGGAAGCAGGAAAGUGUGUUAGAGGCGUUUGCGGUAACCUGGCACGUCUAAACCAAGGCCUGCCAGUGGGACUGUGGUGGAGGAGGAAUUAGUAGGGCGUGAGCACGGGCUGGAGGUGGGUUUAUGGCGGAGGGAGAGGUCAGGCUUUCUCCUAGGCCUCAAGGCAGGUCACACGUGGUCAGGACUGACCUCUCAUUAAUGUUGUCUGUUCGGAGGGUGUAGACCCGGUCAAUGUGAGAAAUGUGGAAGACAGGCUCAUCGCUGGAAGGGUCUGUGGGCAGUUUCACCAAGGCUUCAUUCAGGAAAAUGGGCUGAAAGAAUUAGGGCCAAAACACAGGCUGUGAAAUGGGUCAGAACACUCCACCCUCCUACGUCCAGAAUUGUCUGUUCUGAAGAGCCUUGUUGAGAAGUAGAGGGGUCUAGCUUCCAGAGUCCUUUACUUAGGAGAAAAGAAACUGCCUCUGUGUCAUGAAAGUAAAUAUCUAGGGUAGAUCAGAUGUUACUAAAGUGGGGACAGGAGCACCGAGUGUCUUUGACAGCUCACGUGACAGGGUCUCUCCUCCAGGCACUGACACUUGACCCUUCCCGUCAGCCUUGGUUUUACGGAGAGACCCGAUGCUGAAUGUGGACGGAGGUGGGAUCACACAUCGUGUUUGCUGCGAAGGAAGCUGGAAUCCAUAGCUGGAAUCCAGCUGGUGGCUGUCAGAGGGCAGUGAAGGCCCAGCCACACUAGGCUUCUUCCCUGGGAAGUGACAAAGGAAGCGUGAGCCGUCUGGAGGCAGGUGGAGAGAGUCCCAUGAGGACAGGAAAGGCUCAGGCUGGGAAGGAGGUCCUUAAAGUAAAGGAAACACCUCGUUGUGCUCUUGAUGCUACUGCCAGGAAUGUGACACUUACCAUUUUAUACAUUUUGAAUUGAGCGUUGGACUUAGAGCUGAAAAGUUUCUCGGAGCCCGAGGAAACAGCAAACUGCUUGACCAUGUAGGUGAGAAGCAGGAAGUCAUUGAAGAGGAACCCGUGCAGCUCCUUGUUGCUCUUGGUCUUGUACAGCUUUCCGCUGUGCAGGAGCUUGCGGGGUCCCAGGCAGUUGGUGAGGGAGUUGAAAACAAGUUGCUUAAAGAGAAAGAAACUGUCACUUUGUAACUCCCAGCACCCCUGGCGAGGCCAGCGCCCUGGACCUGAGGGAGGUGCGGUAGACCUUCUAGGUGGGAGUGUGGCUGUAAUCAUUCACUUUUGCACAGAAGAUCCUUACAUUUAUUUCUCUUCAAAGUUCAAACUGGCAUAGUGAAAAUAAUUACUUACAAAACCACAGAAUACUGAUUCUCCCGGCUGAAUUCAAAGAACUCAAAACAUCUCUCUUUAUGAGAAAGGAAGAUGACAACCCAAGAAUGGGCAGGAGGGUGAGUCUGCAUGGGCUGAGCUGAGGCACACACUGUCUACACUAGGGGAAGGCACGAACCUGGCUCCCCACCCAGAGCCUGCCUGGCGGCACCCAGCUCAGCCCCACAGGCCUCACCUCCGCGAGACCUUCACACUGCACGUGAGUCUGGAUCCACUCCAGUCGGUCUGAAUUUUCCUUCUCCCGAACUCCUUCAUUAACUUGCGAGCAGAGCUCCUCUGCCCGCUCGAGGGCCAGCUUCAGAGAGGAGUGGUCUACGUGAUUUUCUGGGGUGUUCUCCAGAAUCUGGAAGAGAGGGGGCUGUGUCAUGUGGGAUGUCUUACGUCUUCCACCUGCCCUGCCAUCUGGGUGCUGGGCGCUGGAAAUACAAUAGUGGGCAAGACAGUCAUUUACCCUUGAGAGGCUCAGGGCCCCCGAGUACUCGGGGAGACAGGUGACUCAGUGACAAGAGGGUGGGCCAAGCGCUACAUGGACCAAGUGCCCUGUGGGUCUCUGGUGGCCCUCUAGCUGGGUCUGGGGAUAGGCUGUAUGUGUAAGGGUGCGUCCCUACUUCCCCCAGUAACAAGCCAUGUGCCUUUAGGGUGAACCCUCCAGUAUAAACUGCCUGCGCCUUUGGUAAGUAUGUUAACUUGCUGAAUAGCAACAUUUCAUUAUAUUUUGGGGGUCACUGAUCCUUCUGAGAAAUCUGCUGAAAGCAAUGAAUCCCCUGCCACGGAAAAAAACACAAUAAAACCAUGUUGUCAGCAUGUAGGAAAAUGCAUUCAUUUCACUGAGAAGUGACUUCACGCUAAUGUUCCAAAGGUAAAGGGAUAGAGAAUGCAAAUUUGUGUGGUCCCUCUGGAAAUUAGCGGGCCCAUCAGUAGACGACUCCUGUGCUUCAUUUAUAGUUCCAAGAUAUGAAAAAGCUCUGGAAGCCUAAAGCUGUUUUCAUUACUCAUUUAGUGGCAAAACUUGACCUAAACUGAAGAGAUGAACUUUUUAUGUCUACUUAUAGUGAUUAUUCAUGAAUUUCUCUAUAGGACUAUUAAUGUGUUGCUUAUCGGUGCUGCCCAGGCUUGUUGGGGUGUCAUGUAAUAUACAGCAUUUGAAUUACAUUCUGAAUUCUGAAACACAUCUGGCCCCAAAUAUUUCAGGUAAGGGACUGUGGAUUAAUGUAUAUUAACGGGUCCAUUUGGUAUCAGAACUGUGACAUUAAUUCUGUAACAUAAGGUCUAUAUUGAGUUAACAUGGCUUACAAACCAGAGAUCAAGGCAUAAUAAAAGCAACAGUCUUAUAUUAUUUCUACUGUUUUUCUUUGUAAGAUGAUUAAAAUUACCUCAAUGAUUACCUGUGGAAUAAUCCUUUGAAAGUCUGCCUUCUCCUUAGAAGGCGUAUCAGCUCGAGAGGCCAACAUUGUUUGUGUCAAAAAGAUGAAUGGAAUUUUAGAGGGACUGUGUAGUCAGCCAGCUGAGGUAGGAUACAGCCAGGGGACGAUGAUGAGCUGUCUAGGACACUGAGUUGGAGACUGCUGGGACGUCUAGGUUACACAUUCAGUUGGUAGAUGAAUUCAGAUCUCAGCAGGAAGACUGGACCCCAAGGUCAUACUAACUGUGGACUCUUUCCACAGCUGGAGACCUAGAGGGCGUUGCCCUGCCUAGACAAAAUACACUCAUGACCCCGAGAGGCCAGGGAGCUUCCUGGGAAGGGGGAGGACAGGUAACCCAAAUGACCUGGAUACCUCUUUUAUUUGCCCACUUCAAGGAUUUAUCCUUUCAGACUGCAUGUGUGUCCAUGGGCGUGUGCGCGCACACACACACACGGUGCCUGGUCCACCAGACAGUAUAGUCGGACCACGUGGUGGGUGGCUGGUGUAUCUGGAGGCUCCCUAUCAGCCUCUGUGAAUCUCAAAGGGUCCUGCUUCUCCCAGCUGGGCACUUACACUUCUGAUGAGGAGGGGGUAGCGGGUGAUCCUCUGCAUGGGCUUCAGCAGGAAGCUGGAAAGGGGCAUUCCUUUACAUCGAGGGUCAGAUGCCAGCCUCUGCAAAAUAAUUGAGAGGCUUGUGAGGAAAUCAUAGCCUGAGGAAAACAAGGAAACAUUGGCUAUUCUCCUGACUUUGACCACCUUUUAGAUUUCUAACUUCUUUUAAAAACUCAGGAUCCAAAAUGAUACGUAUCAGGUUAACAGCAGGAAUAUCCCACUUCAUGCGCCAAAGCCAGUGGAUGCUUUCAGUUCUUUCUUAGGUGCGUCUGACAGCCUGUGCGAUCCCUCCCUCCCAUUGCUUCCGGAACCAGACUGUCUUCCCAGCCCACUGACCCUCUCAGUCUUCCUCACUCCUUUCCUCUCCUCUGCCCAAGAUCCCACACGACUGAGCCCCACAGUGUGACCAGACCAGCUGUGGAGCUCUACACUUGCCAAAUUACUCUCCAUCUCACCUGGAUGUCCCAAAGGCACCUCAAUACCUCAGCAUACCCGCAAGUGAAGUCCUCGUCUUCCCUCAUAAAAGCAUCCUCUUCUACCCCUAUUCCUAUCAGAGUUGGUAGCACCAUUCUUCACCCACUCACCUUCCCCCGCACAUACCUAGGAGUUACCACUGAUGCCAGUCUGUCUUCUAAGUAGCUCUUGAUCUCCCCCAUCUCUGCCUGCUCAUCACCCUGCUUCAUUCAUAACAAUACAUUUACUGAGCACCUGCUAUGAGCCAGGCUCACAAUGUCCUUUCUGCUCUUCCUUCACUUGGCUAAUUCAUAUUCAUCUCUGAAGACUCAGAUUAGCCUCCUCCAGUCCAGGCUCUCCCCUUCUUCAUGCCUCCCCUCCUUUUCAGUGAUCCUUCUCAAGCCCCCGAGGCUUCCUUUAUCAUCAUGCCACAUCUGAACUGGGUAACACAGGUAGAGGCAUCACAUAGGAGGUGUCUCUAUAACUCCCACCCAGACUGUUAACUCCAGGAUGCCAAGGACCACAUUUAUUUGCUUCUACUCCUAGGACUAGUACAGGACCUAACAGAGUAGCUAGUACUCUAGUAUGAUCAUUUUAAGGACUGAAAAAUAAUACAUUUACUAUAAUUUACCUAAUCAUUUCCCACUAUGGGAUAUUAAAAUUACCCCCUCCUUUUGUUUUUGGAUAUAUAUAUAUAUAUAUGUUUCUAAGAUAAGCAUCUUCAUGGUAUUUAUUUCUAUAUUUUGAGUCUUUUUAAAAAGUAACAUUUUAGAACACAGCUUGUUAGAUCUGCUUUUUAAUGUAAUCAACACCACGCCUUUCAUUAUGAGACUAAACACUUUUUAUUUAUUUUUGCUACUGUUACAAUUGUGGUGACACUGUCAUCCUAUUUACAUCCUAUUUUUUUAAUUCCUAUUUUUAUCACUAUUUGAAAAAAUUUUAAAUCUUUUACUAUGCUUUAGAAGGUAAAUGUCCUAUAUUUAAUUCUACUAUUAUUUUAAAAUGUUCACAUAUACUCAUAAUUCCACAUUUAUGUAAUUAUUCUGAUUAAUGUUUGUUUCUGUGAUCUUGGUUUC
Molecule: RNA transcript, 9237 nt
Organism: Globicephala melas (long-finned pilot whale)
Lineage: Eukaryota; Metazoa; Chordata; Mammalia; Artiodactyla; Delphinidae
Source: RefSeq, a predicted model, not a curated record